This 398-nucleotide ribosomal RNA is filed under the name uncultured bacterium. Its description in RNAcentral is "bacterial SSU rRNA". It matches the Rfam family "Bacterial small subunit ribosomal RNA", at positions 28 to 429 of the family's 1533-position model. The record is from RNAcentral.
GACGAACGCUGGCGGCGUGCUUAACACAUGCAAGUCGAGCGGUAAGGCCCUUUCGGGGUACGACGAGCGGCGAACGGGUGAGUAACACGUGGGUGACCUGCCCUCCAGCUCUGGGAUAAGCCUGGGAAACCGGGGUCUAAUACCGGAUAUGACUCCAUGACGCAUGUUGUGGGGUGGAAAGCCUUGUGCGGCUGAGGAUGGGCCCGCGGCCUAUCAGCUUGUUGGUGGGGUGAUGGCCUACCAAGGCGACGACGGGUAGCCGGCCUGAGAGGGCGACCGGCCACACUGGGACUGAGACACGGCCCAGACUCCUACGGGAGGCAGCAGUGGGGAAUCUUGCGCAAUGGGCGAAAGCCUGACGCAGCGACGCCGCGUGAGGGAUGACGGCCUGGUGUAAC